UGGAGCAUGUGGCUUAAUUUGACUCAACGCGGGAAAUCUUACCGGGUCCGGACACACUGAGGAUUGACAGACAUUUAUAUGCGCAAGUAUAUAUUUAAAGAUGCUAGUUCUUUCAUGAUUAUGUGAUAGGUGGUGCAUGGCCGUUCUUAGUUCGUGGAGUGAUCUGUCUGCUUAAUUGCGUUUCAUAUUAUUAUAUAAUAUACACACAUUACGUGUGUUAUAUUAUUACUUUGAAAGCAACGAACGUGACCGUAGCCUUUUAUUAUAUACGCUACACGUAUAUUAAUUAAAGGGACCGCUGUAUCUUUCUUUAAACCAGAGUAAGGUUACGGCAAUAACAGGUCUGUGAUGCCCUUCGAUGUUCCGGGCUGCACACGUGCUACAAUGAUUAUUUCAUUAAGUAUCUACUGUGCAAUAAUAUAUUAUUAUUAUUCAAAAACCUACUCUGAGAAUGAGCGGGUAAUCAAUUAGAAGUAAUGAUUUCCAAAUUUAUACACUCAUGUACCGUAUAUAUUAUCCCAUAUUUUAAUUAAUAUGCGUGUAUAAUAUUGUACGCUGUACGUAUAUUUAUUAAUUCAUGGUGGGGAUAGACUAUUGUUAAUUGUUGGUCUCGGUCUUAACUAGGAAUGCCUUGUACGGGUCAUUGGUUCAACAGACCACCCGGAAUACGUCCCUGCCCUUUGUACACACCGCCCGUCGCUCUUACCGAUGAACUUCGCUAUGAAUCUAUUGGACUGUACCAUUGUGGUAUGGAAAGAUAUAUGAAUAGUGUGGUUUAAAGGAAAGAGAAGUCGUAACAAGGCA
This 804-nucleotide ribosomal RNA is filed under the name Elphidium macellum. Its description in RNAcentral is "SSU rRNA". It matches the Rfam family "Eukaryotic small subunit ribosomal RNA", at positions 1177 to 1801 of the family's 1831-position model. The record is from RNAcentral. Lineage: Eukaryota; Foraminifera; Rotaliida; Elphidiidae.